This is a long non-coding RNA of Diabrotica virgifera virgifera (western corn rootworm), 454 nucleotides long. RefSeq lists it as uncharacterized. The record is from RefSeq and is a predicted model, not a curated record. The transcript has 2 exons. Lineage: Eukaryota; Metazoa; Arthropoda; Insecta; Coleoptera; Chrysomelidae.
UAUCUGCCACAAAGCAAGGACAUCAAAGCAAAGAGUUGGCGUCUUUUAAAAAUAGUUCCUGUUGUAAACUAUGUGAUAAUAACACUUUUCACGUACCUUUACGACAACCGUUGACGUUCUGGACUAAAAUAUCCAACAUUUAUGAAGGGCCACAUAUUUAAUAACAAAUUCACAUAUCCCCGCCUUAAGGUUAAGAAAAUGGCGCUCCUUUGCGUCGUGCAAGCACUCUGGUGAAUGAGGGUUUGAGAUGAAUAAUUAUUGGAUAUAGUAUCGAAUAUCCCUCAAACGGCAUUAAAUUAAGUUAAUUUAGAAAAUGAUGUAAGGAAACUUCAUUUGUUUUAUUUCGAUUUAAACAUAAAUCGAUUUAAAUUGUUAGUGGUGAAUUCUAUCGAUUAUUGGUGAAAAUCAAAAUGAUGUUCAAAAAUAAAGCUGGUUGAAUGGCAAUCAAAGUAAA